AAACCAUAAUGACGACACCUUUUAACCAAUCCUUAAAUCUCCCUCAUGUUUCAUAAAGUGUCUCAAACUCAAUUUGAGCAAAAGAAGAGAUAUCAUUCCUCAACUU
This is a non-coding RNA of Gossypium raimondii (Peruvian cotton), 106 nucleotides long. NCBI's taxonomy places the organism in Eukaryota, Viridiplantae, Streptophyta, Magnoliopsida, Malvales, Malvaceae. The record is from Rfam.